Molecule: long non-coding RNA, 840 nt
Filed under: Sus scrofa (pig)
Lineage: Eukaryota; Metazoa; Chordata; Mammalia; Artiodactyla; Suidae
Description: lncRNA (ENSSSCG00030001472.1)
Source: RNAcentral
GGCAGGGGCGGCCCGGUCCAGAGCGCGCGAAGCCUACCCGCCCUGGGAGCAGAGGUCCUGGAGCGGCACCAGCAGCUGCCAAAGGGCAUCUUGCGAGGCGAGGUCUGGCGGAGGUCCUGCGCAGACUUAGGAGACACGGCUGGACUCGUGACUCGGCUGCAGGUGACGCCAGGGAGACUCAGUACGCGCUCCGAGGCGCAGUCCCGGGCUGGCCCGGCGCCGCUGGGCAGAGGAAUCUUCUGGGACUUUGAAGAGGGAUUCCGAUGUGAGAAUUCCUGGAAGAGCCAAGAAAACACCAGCAUUGAAGCCUGCGUGGCGUUCAGUUUGCUGACAACUUCAGAAGAAACAGCUGUCGUGUGGGGUUCUUGGCCAGCCGGCCGUUACAUCUUUUUCAGGCAACAAGCAAGUUUCCUAGAAGCAUCGUGCUGCAGGAACAGCACUUGGCUUCGUCAUCCCCAAGGCAUACAUGUCUCAUCCAUCACUUUCCAGCCAUCGGUACUUGACGACAAAUUGUUCCUUCCCAACUGCUCACACUGCAGCUUUUAUCCACUGAAGCCCUUGCUCCCUGACGUGUCUGUCAGCCUUGCACAGUAACUAGAAUGUUUCAUCCAGCUCUUGUGCAACAAUCCUUGAAGCAUGUCAGCUCCUGGAAACAAACGCACUUGCCAGAAAAACAUGUACGUCAACCAGCAAAGAAAAAAAAACUUAUUUAUUAGAGCUUGAAAUCGCCACAAUCUGUAAAGCACAGCAAGGAAAAGAAGCUUCCCCUGCCUGUGUUGGUAUUAUUGUUAUUAUUAAAAUAGAGUUGAUUUACAGUGCUUCUUCAGUUUCUGUUGUACA